Molecule: ribosomal RNA, 303 nt
Filed under: uncultured bacterium
Lineage: Bacteria
Description: partial 16S ribosomal RNA
Rfam family: Bacterial small subunit ribosomal RNA
Source: RNAcentral
AGCAGUAGCCACGGGAAUACGGAGGGAGCUAGCGUUAUUCGGAAUUACUGGGCGUAAAGCGCACGUAGGCGGCUUUGUAAGUUAGAGGUGAAAGCCUGGUGCUCAACACCAGAACUGCCUUUGAUACUGCAUCGCUUGAAUCCAGGAGAGGUGAGUGGAAUUCCGAGUGUAGAGGUGAAAUUCGUAGAUAUUCGGAAGAACACCAGUGGCGAAGGCGGCUCACUGGACUGGUAUUGACGUUGAGGUGCGAAAGCGCGGGGAGCAAACAGGAUUAGAUACCCCAGUAGUCCCUGUCUCUUAUAC